GUACCCUCAAGCUUUGCUUGGUGAUGGGUGUUUGUUCCGCUGCAACGCGUGAACUCGCCUCAAAUCAAUUGGCAGCCGGCAAUCUGGUGUUUGAGCGCAGCACAUUUUGCGCUCUUCGCUGUGUAUUGCGGGCGUCCAUGAAGCCUAUAUUUUCAC
This 156-nucleotide unclassified non-coding RNA is filed under the name uncultured Pyrenochaeta. Its description in RNAcentral is "partial internal transcribed spacer 2". Lineage: Eukaryota; Fungi; Ascomycota; Dothideomycetes; Pleosporales; Pleosporaceae. The record is from RNAcentral.